Molecule: unclassified non-coding RNA, 342 nt
Filed under: soil metagenome
Description: partial contains 5.8S ribosomal RNA, internal transcribed spacer 2, and large subunit ribosomal RNA
Rfam family: 5.8S ribosomal RNA (bases 1-120)
Source: RNAcentral
GAUGAAGAACGUAGCGAAAUGCGAUAAGUAAUGUGAAUUGCAGAAUCCAGUGAAUCAUCGAAUCUUUGAACGCACAUUGCGCCCGCCAGCAUUCUGGCGGGCAUGCCUGUUCGAGCGUCAUUUCAACCCUCGACCUCCCUUUGGGGAAGUCGGCGUUGGGGACCGGCAGCACACCGCCGGCCCUGAAAUGGAGUGGCGGCCCGUCCGCGGCGACCUCUGCGUAGUAAACCAACUCGCACCGGAACCCCGACGUGGCCACGCCGUAAAACACCCAACUUCUGAACGUUGACCUCGAAUCAGGUAGGACUACCCGCUGAACUUAAGCAUAUCAAUAAGCGGGGA